RNAcentral lists this ribosomal RNA (257 nucleotides) under uncultured bacterium. RNAcentral's name for it is "partial 16S ribosomal RNA". It matches the Rfam family "Bacterial small subunit ribosomal RNA", at positions 524 to 776 of the family's 1533-position model. The record is from RNAcentral.
UACGUAGGGUGCAAGCGUUGUCCGGAAUUAUUGGGCGUAAAGAGCUCGUAGGCGGUUUGUUGCGUCGGCUGUGAAAUCCCGAGGCUCAAACCUCGGGUCUGCAGUCGAUACGAGCAAACUAGAGUGUUGCAGGGGAGACUGGAAUUCCUGGUGUAGCGGUGAAAUGACGCAGAUAUCAGGAGGAACACCGGUGGCGAAGGCGGGUCUCUGGGUAGUAACUGACGCUGAGGAGCGAAAGCGUGGGGUAGCGAAACAGG